Molecule: microRNA precursor, 61 nt
Filed under: Homo sapiens (human)
Lineage: Eukaryota; Metazoa; Chordata; Mammalia; Primates; Hominidae
Description: Hsa-Mir-580_pre stem-loop
Source: RNAcentral
UAAUGAUUCAUCAGACUCAGAUAUUUAAGUUAACAGUAUUUGAGAAUGAUGAAUCAUUAGG